GACGAACGCUGGCGGCGUGCUUAACACAUGCAAGUCGAACGGUGAAGGGACCAGCUUGCUGGUUCUGGAUGAGCGGCGAACGGGUGAGUAACACGUGAGUAACCUGCCCCUUUCUCCUGGAUAACUGCAUGAAAGUGUGGCUAAUACGGGAUAUUAUGGUUCUGUCGCAUGGCCGGCCCGGGAAAGAUAUUGUUUCGGUGGGGGAUGGGCUCGCGGCCUAUCAGCUUGUUGGUGGGGAGGUGGCCUAUCAAGGCGGCGACGGGUAGCCGGCCUGAGAGGGGGGACGGUCACACUGGGACUGCGGUACAGACUAGACUGCUACGGGGGGGAGCAGUGGGGAACAUUGCACAAUGGGGGCAAGCGUGAUGCAGCGACGCCGCGUGAGGGAGGGUGGCCUUCGGGUUGUAAUCCUCUUUCGCCAGUGAAGCAGGCCUGCUCCUUGUGGGUGGGUUGACGGUAGCUAGAUAAGAAGCGCCGGCUAACUACGUG
Molecule: ribosomal RNA, 489 nt
Filed under: uncultured bacterium
Lineage: Bacteria
Description: partial 16S ribosomal RNA
Rfam family: Bacterial small subunit ribosomal RNA
Source: RNAcentral